Long non-coding RNA from Cyprinus carpio carpio, 615 nucleotides. NCBI's taxonomy places the organism in Eukaryota, Metazoa, Chordata, Actinopteri, Cypriniformes, Cyprinidae. The record is from Ensembl.
UUAAAACACAGCCGUUUGGGCAUUUUAACACCGCUUGUGUCAUUUUGUGGGGCUUUGCGUACACUGGAGAGUCUAUUGUAAACAACCGUUACGUGCGGUCUGGCUCGUUACACUGCCUAGUCCCAGCAUUCCCGUGUGUUUACCGUUUGAGUGGGGACAUCCAAUAUAUGCUGUUUGGCAUCUACUUCAUUUCUAUCCCGUGGAUACUGACGUCAGCUCUGCUUUCUGGUGUGGCAAACGGCUGCGUUAUUUGGAGCUGUGUGUCCGACGGCAGUGAGGCUUUCCUUCACCGUGUGCUGUGUUAUGCUGUGUGAGCACCACUGAUAAAAUCACGGGUAUUGGAGAGCUGUGUGUCCGACGGCAGUGAGGCUUUCCUUCACCGUGUGCUGUGUUAUGCUGUCCCAUUUGAUGCCAAUAGGCUACAGCUCCGAAGUAAAUGUGAAUCCUUAUUGUGGAUUGUGAUUUCCAGCUUAGUAAUUGGCUGGGUGACUAUUAUUCCUGCAUUUUAAACUUUUGUACUAAUAAACAAACUCUAUUUUGCUACCCACGUCUCUUGCUCAUUUUAUUCAGUGGAAUGAACCUGGGUUCCUUAUAACAUUUUAAGUGAACUGUGAU